Long non-coding RNA from Lytechinus pictus (painted urchin), 2044 nucleotides. RefSeq lists it as uncharacterized. The record is from RefSeq and is a predicted model, not a curated record. The transcript is spliced from 3 exons. Lineage: Eukaryota; Metazoa; Echinodermata; Echinoidea; Temnopleuroida; Toxopneustidae.
GGGGGGCAGCUUGCCCCGCCUGUUACGCCGCUGUUCCUGCGGUGCCAAUCCUGGCUGGCCUCGCCGCUGGUGUCCUAGGGCAGACAGGCCUUUCGUACGAGAACAUUGCCUACUCCUCUGUGGACUAUGCAAUCCACCCAACCCUCGUCAGAUCUGUGAGAACAACCUUGAAUAGGACACUCUGUGUCAGGAAGUCAGCCUGAACGUGUAUAAUUCCAGACCAGCUUGUUGUCCCAGAAAACCAGGCUCAGACGUCAGAGAUUUUAUGAACUUGAUAAUGGAUCACAUCGCUUUCAUUUUCGGUUUGACCUGCUAUUGGGAAAUUGAUGAUAUAUUGAGCAAUUGUUCUAAGCUUGUCUUUGAGGGCAAUUAUAUGUUAACUUCUAUUUUCAAAUAUGUCUUUAAUAUUAUCAAAUAAUCACAAUAAAAGAGUGAACAUAGAAUCAUUUUAUGCGAUGGUGCUACGGGUUAUUUGCGCAUGAUGGUGCUGACUAUAUUAAUUAUUUACAUUACUUAUGUUGUAAAUUUACGAUUUCCAUCAAUUUGUGAUUCGUCUUGAAAGAUUAGCAGGGGUAGAUGGGUUCUCAUAAACCGCAUGUAAAACGAAGGUUUUUUAAAGAAAAAUGUGCUAUUUUUCAUUAAUAUUGAUAUCUAGUUCUUUCCCGAGGUGAAACACAGCCUUCGUUAGAUACAAGGCCGUGUUUAAGUUUUUAUGAUUUACGUUUAGUUAACUAUUACUGAAUGAAUUAAAAAAAAAGUUUGAAAAAAUGUUAUUGGCUAUACCCGAUUCUAUAUUCACCAAUUUACAUGUAUUGGGCCUAUCGAUCCAAUGCUUUCAUAUACCUUUGCUAUAUAUUUUUUUCACUUUGAAAUGAGUGUUUUAAGAAAUAUAGUCCUGAAUAACAUGUUUAACUGGAUUCACUUAAUUGAAUCCCUGCGACUGAAGCUAAAGCUUCUGAACUAUAAUUUGGGACACCUACCUGCUAAAGAGCUAGAACAUGAAUAUCUGCAGACUGGUGAUUGGUAUAAGUCAUGAAUAUACAAAAAGAGUAAAGGGCCUAGCGGAGACCCAUGAGGUACCCAAGCAUAGUUUACAAGCAAUCACUUCAUAAAUUGACUAAAUAUUUAGUGCAACGUAUAAUACCGCAAUGCCUAGAAUCUUCAUUGGUAGUGUGUACAUGUACACACACACACACACCCUCACACAAAUAUUAAAAUGGUAAUUAGUCUGCAUUGCAAAUCAUCAAAUAAACCCAUAAGACUGUUAUGCUACAUCCAGCAUUAGGUUGGUAAGAAAUAGUGUCAUCAUGUUAUUAUUAAUUCAUAAUCCGGUAUGUGUAUUUUAAUAUGGGUUGUUGUACAAAAGAGGACAACUUGUCACCCCGCAUCCAAAUAUGUUAAUAGCGAGUUUUCGAAAUCGCGACGGGGACAGAUUAUACCACAUGGUAAAUCUUUUGAAAAUGCCCGUCAAAUCAUAAUGAACAGCUUAGAAGUCUUUGUCGAAAAUUGGUGAACCUGGAGAGCUGAUCAUCUUGAGAUUCGGAGCUGACGAAAAAUUGCAAAUAUGUCGUUAGACCAGACUCCAGGAAAACACUGCUGUUUCGAUUCACCGAUUUUCGACAAAGUCUGCUUUGUCAUGAAGGCCUUUGGGCAAAAUAUUAUCUACGUUCCAGAAUGUGUCUACGUAGCUGUUUGCGAAAACUCCCCAAUAUCAGUAUUGUAGUCGCAAUAUAUCUCCCCAUUCAGAAAUUCCUUUUUAAGCAAAGAUUUCUUAAAAAUCAUAGGAUCAAAUGCAGAGAGUUGCAAUUAAUCAACCAAGUACUACAUGAUUUUCAGCAACUGUGCAUUUGGGACUUAUAUGAUAUCUGAGAGUUAAAGAUUUCAUUAAAAUAUAUGGUCUACUUUAUAUUCAAUAUUCCUCGUUUUAAUAUAUAACCAAAAAUUUCCUCGGUUCAAAUGUUGAAGGUUAGGCUUAUGUAAUAUUCCUUUUUACUACUAUUGAUUUAUGUUGCAAUAAAUGAUCAUGGUAUAUUGGAUUUUUUUU